GGCCAAGCUGCGCGAUGGGCAGGAGCCGCUGCUCCGAGCCAAGAUCCCGCUCAACAUCCUGGGGCUGCCAAUCUGCUCGGGCGUGAGCAUGGGCAGCAGCCAGGAGCUGGGGCUCCACGUCUCGACGCUGGUGGCGGCGGGGCCUUCAUGCCGGGUAACGUUUCUCCCCAACGAUUCCCACGCGCCCGUGUGUGUGAUGAUCAAGGCAGGGUUUGGGCCCUGGGGAUCUCCCGUGGGCUCCUGCCUCGCCAUCUCCGCGCAGCUCAAGCUUCCAACUUGGAGCCAGCAGCGACCCUCCUUUUCCAUUUCACUCAAGCCGCGCAAUGGUGAUUUCAUGCUGCUCAAGAAUGUGAGGGGAAUCGAGCUCAAGGGCCGCAAACCAAGCAAGGAAGAAUCGCCGGACGAGGCGACUGCCUCGAAUGGCGUGAGUGUUGCGGAGCUGGCCAAAGCAUUUGACAAGGAGAAAACAAGCAGCACCAAGAAUGUGAAUGGCUGCUUGGAAGACGAUGGCUGGGUGAUCCCCGACGCUGGAACGAUGACAAGAACACGAAGAAAAGGUUUCAGCACCACCCCGGCUGCCUUCAAGGGGUGGAGUGUAGCAGCGCACAGCAGCCUUCCCCUGGGGCAACGGGUGUACGCUGGAAUAAGAUGGCGAGUGGGAGUCCCUGGAGAUUUGGUUGAGACUCUGGCCUCUAAUCCUCACAAGCUCUGGUCACGAUUGAGCUCCCCGGUUCUCAAGCUCGACAAGAUCACCCUCUACAGCAUCGAGCCCAAGGACGAUCAAGCGAAGCCCGACAGCAUGAGUGAUUCCAUGGCAGCAGCUCAGCAAGCUUGGAUGGAGGAGAACCAAGAGCUUAACAAGGUCGCGGCCAUGUGUUCUUCCAUACGGAGGCAACUCCAUCUGGUGUACAGCGAGAACCGAGUUCUGAGGAACACACUGGAGGAGAUGCGAAGGAACUUUAACAGCAGGGGAAGCACCCCCACGGAGAUGCCAUCUUCCAUAGUCAUGGACAAAGCUGUGCUACCAUUGGCCGACUACGAGAACUUCCACAGGAGUCAGCAAUCGCCAAUCCCGGGGAAGAAGGAAUUUGAUGCCGAUGCUACUGCUCCGGCCGCUGACAAGAAUAGGGAGCAACAGAAUCAAUACCAGAGCAAACAACACAAGCCACGGCCGCCGGAUACUGCUGCUGUAGCUCCCGAGAAAUCUGGCCCUCCGCCACCUCCCGCUCCUUCGGCGUCUGCAGUUGCCAAGGAGCUCAAAAAGGCAAUCAAUGCAAGCAAAUCGACGUGAUUGCUUGUGUCAUGAUGUAUAUAGGAAAAUGUAAAGUACGUUUUCUCAAAUCAAGAUGAACAGUCUAUUUACAAUAUUCAAUCAAAGGAACUUCUCCAAACCAAAACUCUAUAGGCCAUUGCAAGCGUGCCACCUUCCAGAUAUACGUGCCAAACUGAGCUUGGUCCUACUGGUUAGCGUGAGGCCUCCGUAAAAGAAUGAGUUUGUAAAAGUCCACCACCAUGAUCGUGAUGGAAGAAAGACGGGCUCUACUGCUUGGUGUCCUUAAACCACCAGCUUGCUGGAACUCCAAGCUCUGCCUUGAGAUAGUCCGAUCUCUUGUUCACCAGUGCGAUAUCCCGGGUGCCCGAGACACUGAAGGGCUUGCUCGGCCCUUGGUAGCCAUCAACCAGGUGAAGCAAGGCCUCCAAGUUGUGCAGAUCGGUCAAGCCACCAUCUUCCCUCAGAAACGGAGAGAUGUCGCUGCUGAGCUCAAACUCGGUGCCAACAUGGGUGUAGGCCCAUGGGAACCUGUGGAAGAUGAGCGAGCUGAUAUCACAGCUGUCCUCGUUGACAAUCACCCCUGGAACUUUGGGCACCAGGUCUGCGCCAUUGCGUGUCUGGAGGACUUUGAGCCCGAGCUCGAGGCACCUGUUCUUGAAACCCCGGUUCCCAACUCGGGGUGCCGAGAAUGUGAAGACGGACACCGGGGUAUUGCUCCCGGGCAGCCCAAGCUCUGUCACGUCGUAGGCGCUGAGGAGUGCAAGCGCGCCACCCAGGCUGUGGCCCGUGAACGUCAUACUCAGCUGCUCACCCUGGUAGAGCCCGACCAAUCGCUUGAUCUCCGAGUGGAGAUGCUGCCUCGCGCUCAUCCCGUCGUGAUCGCCGGGGACUGGAGACGUGUAGAUGCUGAGAAAUCCCGUCUCCACUUUCACGCCUUUGGUGUUGUGAUCCGUGGGGUCGAGCCCGGUGGGGCGGAGGAGAUCCUUGAGGUUCUCGAUCCACUCGAGCUGCGUCACCGUCCCGCGCCAGGCCACCACAAUGUCGCGGCGUCCCAACCGUCGGAUGGCCUCGUCCGACGUGGCAACCGCCACGAAGCCCAUCCAGUUGGUGUCCGACGUCCACGAGUCGUCGCCGGGUUGGGCGUUGGAAUUGGAGCGCUUGAAGAAACUGGGCAAGCCCAGCUGCGAUGUCGCGUAGAGAUAGGCCGUGAUUUCGUAUCCCGUGCUUGGGAGUCCCACGGAUUGGAGCAGCUCCUCCUUGGAGAACUUUGUGUCUCCACAGAAUUCCGAGCCCUCGCUGUAUUCGAAGCCGUCGUAGCAAACCUGCGCAAAUUCACCGUAUCGGAUGAUCUCCCGCCGGAGCCGAUCGUCGAUGGAGGCGUUGGCGGGCGGGAGGAGCGGACUCCAGUGGCAUGCAUCCCGCCAGCCUGACAGCUGCGUCUCCUCCAGCUCCACAACCCGCGCGCCAUGACCAUCUCCAUCAGAUCUCUCCAACGUCCUUCUCUUGAAUGACAGUGACAAUGAAACUCGUGCCAUGAUCUCGAUGCUCGCUCCCGAGGCUUUGAUGGGCUUGGAAAUUGUUGAUACGCCUAUCGAUCGAUCAGCUCCUCCUUGGCGAGUAUGGUUGCAAUGAAUCAGAUGAUCGCUUUGUAAAGAACUUCUCCCCUUCUUGUUUCUCCCUUCGUGUAAAUUGCUGCUGGAAUGCUGAGAUUGUGGCAGAGGAUUUAUAGCAGUAUCGCUUUCAAAGUUUGCCACCGGGUCAAAAGAAGCAUAUACGAAAUUCUCACGUUGGUCUCUUCUCUUCUCGAAUGGGAAACAUAACAGUCAAAAUUCAAACCACACCACCCCACAGGGUCAAUCAUAUGGAAGGAGGUAUUGCGUAUUUGAUUAGAAGACUUUCACUGAACUUUCACUCUUCAUUCUUAUUUAGAGGGAAUUAUAAAUUCAAGUGACAUAAUGAAUUUUCAUUACAAAGUUGAACAUCAAUGUUGGUCAACACAUUGCAUAUGACACGGCAAUAGUGUGGUGGCGCCACUCUAUGGAGCCUUUCCUCAAUCAAGACUCCAAGUGGUUCAUCAAGGAGAUGAUUAAUUACAUGGGGUUGGGAUUUCCAAUCAAUGCUUGCCAGCUUUGAAUUUUGGAGAAGCUUUACAAAGCUCAUGAAGAUUGACAUCAAUUUAAGUAUCUUUAGAGAGAUGAAUAGAUUGAGUGAAUCAACCAAGUGGUUGAAGACAUGCUAAGAUGCACUAUGCAUAAAUAGAAUAACUUUUUAUUUUCUGUCAAGUUUUUCUAUAAGGGUGGGGUUCCAUGUGUCCCCCACCUGGAAAUUUUUUCACCCUGGAAAAAAAAACUUCCCCCUUCGAAUAUUUUAAGGUUACAUGUAACCCACGUUUAAAAUGUCAUGUCAUCAAUAUAGUUUUUGCCAACUCAGUUAAAUUUGUUUUGUCUUUUUUAAGCAAUGAUUACUAUUUUUAUACGUGGUACUAUUUUAUUGACUUGUUCUACCGGGUUUCAGGCACCGGGAGAAAUUUUGGGGGGGGACAUCAGGUUCCCCCAAUUCCAUUGCCACGUCACUGGUGGGGUACAUGAAACAAGGGGUUAAAAAUUUUCCCCCUUGAAAAACUUCCCCCGGUACCCUGCCCUAACAACAAUUAGCAUAGUGGCACUAAAAUAUAAGACACUUAAGUUUAGAGCCAAAUUCCAAGCUAAAUUCCAAGCCUAUUAUUCUAUGAACAAAAGUUUAAUAUGCACUCAAAAAAACACCAUUUCCUUAUAUUCAACUUUUGCAUAUAAAAUAGUGUCAAAUUGAGUUCAGAAUAACAUACCAAUGGCCUAAUGUGAGAAAAUAGAUACCCCAUUAACUAAAGUAGCAUGGAAUUUGGGCAAGUUAGAUGUAAAACAAGGAAUGACACAGUUGAAAAUUAAUGUUCCAAAUAAUCACUUAUAUUUCCAACUAUUAUCUAUACUAUAUUUAAAAUCCCCCAUAUUUGCUAAAAGGUGUUUUGACAAGGAAUGAAUCUCAAGUAAAUUCCUAUUAAAUGUUUCAGGCUGAGGAAAAAAAGAUGGAGCCAAGAAAUGUGAUCAGACUGGAGGAAGGAUUGUUAUAACCCUGGGAUUAAUAUUCAUCUAUAUGGUUUAAGGAUGAUUAAGUUAAAUUUAGUUAGUUUAUUUUAACAAAGAUUGACUAAUCUAGAGCAGUGGCACAGGCAGUCCAGGGUGGUUAUUUACUUUGCAUCUGCAUGUUAAUUCUUCCCUACAUUCAAACAAGUCAUCAUGGUCCUAAGGCUCAAUUUAUGCAGGAGAGGAUACAUCAAAUGUCAUGGAAAUAAUAUAAAAUCUGGCAAUAAAUAUCCUAAGCAAAUCACAUAUCUACCGUAAUUAAUGAAGGCCACAUUAAAUUAUUUUUCAAAAGUAUGGUGGUCGACAAAAAGAAAUGUCCAUACUUUUUCAAGACUUUCUCUCCAGCUUAGGAUAGGAAGGUGGUGGUGGUAUAUAUGGACUUGAGCACUAUUUAUAAGCUAAUAUUGAUAAAUAAGCUACAAAACUAAUGCACAUCUUGUCUUUGGAGCACUCAUCUUGGUUUAGUAUGAUUAAUUGAUCAUGCAAGUUGACUAUUUUAUUUUAUUUUAUUUUUUAAAAUCAUUUAGUGAUGAUAGAAACCAAAAUGGAAGUAAUUCUUAUCACUACUUGCAUUCUAGAUAUUGCAACCUCAAGUGAUCAUCAAAAGAAAUUGUUAAAACUUUUAAAACAAACUUUUAUCCUAGUGCAUGCAAGCUCCAUUAUCAUCAACUCUCAAAACCAUUUGAAUCAUAGUCUUCCAUUAGGAUGAGCAUUCAAGAUUCUCCUGAUAUAAGAUUCUAAAGGAAAAUGUGGAAUAAACUGAUCUUGAAUGGAAAUCUUUAUUCAAGUUUAAAGCAUAAUAAUCUAUAUGUAUAACUAUUAGUUUUAAUUAUCCAUGGUGGAUUAUUUUUAUAACAAAUAAUAUAUUUGAUGAUUGUAAAAUAAAAAAUGCAGUUGCAGGUUAUGUUGUUUGCUCUGGUUUUGAAUCAGCUGCUCUCUCUUUUCAAGUAUUGCAAAUAUAAUUUUCAAGUGACGCUUGGUUCAUAUCAACUAAUAAAAUUAAAUCUGAAAACAUACAUGCUAAUAUUUAUUAAAGUAAAUUGAAGCUAUGCAUUAAAUAAUUUGCUGCAGGAUUUUUUCUUAAUUACCAGAUACUCCUGCUAGGUCCCAAGGAAUCUAUCCCUUGGCCACGGCCAUGGAUUGCUCACUGCAGCUGCAUCAUCAAUCUCCUCAGCUGCACCGCACUCCCUUGUGGCCAAGGAGCUCAAGAAGGGAAACAACGCAAGCAAAUUGUUUGUGUCAAAGUUUUUCAAAUCAAGAUAUUUACCAGAUUCAAUCGAAUGAACUAAGUUUCCCAAAUCAAAACUCUAUUGCAAGCGUGCCACCUUUCAGUUAUACGUGUCAAUCUGAGCUUGAUCCUACGGAUCAGCUUGAGGCCGAGGCUUGGUGUCCUUAAACCACCAAUUUGCUGGAACUCCAAGCUCUGCCGUGAGAUAGUCCGAUCUCUUGUUCACCAGUGCGAUAUUCCGGGUGCCCGA
This 5870-nucleotide long non-coding RNA is filed under the name Selaginella moellendorffii. RNAcentral's name for it is "long non-coding RNA (SMOE_LNC000684)". The record is from RNAcentral. Lineage: Eukaryota; Viridiplantae; Streptophyta; Lycopodiopsida; Selaginellales; Selaginellaceae.